Molecule: unclassified non-coding RNA, 296 nt
Filed under: uncultured fungus
Lineage: Eukaryota; Fungi
Description: partial contains 5.8S ribosomal RNA, internal transcribed spacer 2, and large subunit ribosomal RNA
Rfam family: 5.8S ribosomal RNA (bases 1-52)
Source: RNAcentral
AACGCACCUUGCGCUCCUUGGUAUUCCGAGGAGCAUGCCUGUUUGAGUGUCAUUAAAUUCUCAACCCCUCCAGUUGUGAUGGGGCUUGGAUAUGGGAGUUUGCGGGUCCUUUAUCAGUAAAGGUCAGCUCUCCUGAAAUACAUUAGCGGAACCGUUUGCAGUCCCGUCACUAGUGUGAUAAUUAUCUACACUGUGAUGAUUGCUCUCUGACUAGUUCAGCUGCUAAUCGUCCGUUACGGACAAUGUUUAAUGAACUUCUUGACCUCAAAUCAGGUAGGACUACCCGCUGAACUUAA